RNAcentral lists this long non-coding RNA (586 nucleotides) under Hordeum vulgare. RNAcentral's name for it is "long non-coding RNA (HVUL_LNC020430)". The record is from RNAcentral. Lineage: Eukaryota; Viridiplantae; Streptophyta; Magnoliopsida; Poales; Poaceae.
UUUUUUAAGGUUAACAUCAGUCUGGAAUUUAUUUUGCAUGUUCUGUACAAUAUUUGCAUAUUCCUACCCAUUGCAAAUGUUCCUGCAGAAGUGUUUAGCUUAAUUUGUUCUUUCGUACUGAGAUCCUCAGGUGCCUGUAUCACAAGUCCAGUGCAUUGGGUUCAACGCUUGCAUUAUGUUCCAGUAUCUUAAAAAGUUGGAAUCAAUUAGAACCUAUUUUUAAACAUUCUGGAUCUUCCUUAACGUUUUGGAUAUACCCUGCGUCUUACACAGGUGAGUGUUGAUGUUCCUGAUGUGCGUGGAAGGACAGAGAUUCUCAAGGUGCACGGUAGCAACAAGAAGUUUGAUGCCGAUGUUUCUCUUGAAGUCAUUGCAAUGAGAACACCUGGGUUCAGUGGAGCAGACUUGGCGAAUCUUCUGAACGAGGCAGCCAUAUUAGCAGGCCGACGUGGGAGGACCGGAAUUUCCUCAAAGGAGAUUGACGAUUCAAUUGAUAGGAUAGUGGCUGGUAUGGAAGGGACUGUCAUGACAGAUGGGAAGAGCAAAAGUCUUGUUGCUUACCACGAAGUCGGGCAUGCAGUUUGCG